This 1601-nucleotide ribosomal RNA is filed under the name metagenome. Its description in RNAcentral is "bacterial LSU rRNA". It matches the Rfam family "Bacterial large subunit ribosomal RNA", at positions 1321 to 2902 of the family's 2925-position model. The record is from RNAcentral.
GCGAAAAACACCCACGCCGAAAGACCAAGGGUUCCUGCGCAACGUUAAUCGACGCAGGGUUAGUCGGUUCCUAAGGCGAGGCUGAAAAGCGUAGUCGAUGGGAAACAGGUUAAUAUUCCUGUACUUCUGGUUACUGCGAUGGAGGGACGGAGAAGGCUAGGCCAGCUUGGCGUUGGUUGUCCAAGUUUAAGGUGGUAGGCUGAAAUCUUAGGUAAAUCCGGGGUUUCAAGGCCGAGAGCUGAUGACGAGUCGUCUUUUAGAUGACGAAGUGGUUGAUGCCAUGCUUCCAAGAAAAGCUUCUAAGCUUCAGGUAACCAGGAACCGUACCCCAAACCGACACAGGUGGUCGGGUAGAGAAUACCAAGGCGCUUGAGAGAACUCGGGUGAAGGAACUAGGCAAAAUGGCACCGUAACUUCGGGAGAAGGUGCGCCGGCUAGGGUGAAGGAUUUACUCCGUAAGCUCUGGCUGGUCGAAGAUACCAGGCCGCUGCGACUGUUUAUUAAAAACACAGCACUCUGCAAACACGAAAGUGGACGUAUAGGGUGUGACGCCUCCCCGGUGCCGGAAGGUUAAUUGAUGGGGUUAGCGCAAGCGAAGCUCUUGAUCGAAGCCCCGGUAAACGGCGGCCGUAACAAUAACGGUCCUAAGGUAGCGAAAUUCCUUGUCGGGUAAGUUCCGACCUGCACGAAUGGCGUAACGAUGGCGGCGCUGUCUCCACCCGAGACUCAGUGAAAUUGAAAUCGCUGUGAAGAUGCAGUGUAUCCGCGGCUAGACGGAAAGACCCCGUGAACCUUUACUGUAGCUUUGCACUGGACUUUGAGCCUGCUUGUGUAGGAUAGGUGGGAGGCUUUGAAGCGUGGACGCCAGUUCGCGUGGAGCCAUCCUUGAAAUACCACCCUGGCAUGCUUGAGGUUCUAACUCUGGUCCGUAAUCCGGAUCGAGGACAGUGUAUGGUGGGCAGUUUGACUGGGGCGGUCUCCUCCUAAAGAGUAACGGAGGAGUACGAAGGUGCGCUCAGACCGGUCGGAGAUCGGUCGCAGAGUAUAAAGGCAAAAGCGCGCUUGACUGCGAGACAGACACGUCGAGCAGGGACGAAAGUAGGUCUUAGUGAUCCGGUGGUUCUGUAUGGAAGGGCCAUCGCUCAACGGAUAAAAGGUACUCCGGGGAUAACAGGCUGAUACCGCCCAAGAGUUCAUAUCGACGGCGGUGUUUGGCACCUCGAUGUCGGCUCAUCACAUCCUGGGGCUGAAGCCGGUCCCAAGGGUAUGGCUGUUCGCCAUUUAAAGUGGUACGCGAGCUGGGUUUAGAACGUCGUGAGACAGUUCGGUCCCUAUCUGCCGUGGACGUUUGAGAUUUGAGAGGGGCUGCUCCUAGUACGAGAGGACCGGAGUGGACGAACCUCUGGUGUUCCGGUUGUCACGCCAGUGGCAUUGCCGGGUAGCUAUGUUCGGAAAAGAUAACCGCUGAAAGCAUCUAAGCGGGAAACUUGCCUCAAGAUGAGAUCUCACUGGGAACUUGAUUCCCCUGAAGGGCCGUCGAAGACUACGACGUUGAUAGGCUGGGUGUGUAAGCGUUGUGAGGCGUUGAGCUAACCAGUACU